RNAcentral lists this long non-coding RNA (566 nucleotides) under Gossypium barbadense (sea-island cotton). RNAcentral's name for it is "long non-coding RNA (GBAR_LNC012435)". The record is from RNAcentral. Lineage: Eukaryota; Viridiplantae; Streptophyta; Magnoliopsida; Malvales; Malvaceae.
ACCUUACCCCAACAUUACUCAAUGCCGAAUAUUAACCCAACAUCACAAGCAUAAUCACCAUGAAACUUACCUUGAUACACAUUUUAUCCCAUUGCCGAAUAUAUAUAUAUCACCAAACAAAUUUUUAUUCACAUCUCUAUAAUUGAUCAUAAUCGGACAUUAUAAACAAAUCAACUAGUUUAGCAUUCAAAUUCUUCUAAUCAUUCCUCAAUCACUUACUCAAUGAACAAUAAUCCAAGCACAUCAAAGCAUAGUCAAAUGUAUCAUUCUUCUUAAAUUCAUAUUCGAACACUCAAUUAAAUACUUACAAUUUAGCACUAAUUUGGCAUUUCAACAUAGCCAAUUGUCAUUAAGCAAUUAAGCCACAAAUAUUCAAUUUUACCAAGCUCAACUCAUCUAUAAUCAACCCUCAAUACACCUAAGCAUCAAAAACAACAUCAAAGAAAUACAAACAUCCGUGACCGAAUGUCAUCUUCAUAAAUUUACAAAAACAUUUGCCAUGAGUUAGCUUCUAUACUUGAUGACCACUCCAAAUAUACAAAGACUUUCAAUGAAAGAGCAUUAAC